CGAUGCCAUUGGCCGAGCUCCCAGCAUCCUUUGCAGCCUCCGCGUUGGCCGAGUUCCCAGCAUCCUUUGCAGAGAUGCCAUUGGCCAGGCUCCCAGCAUUCUUUGCAGCCUCCAAGUUGGCCGAGCUCCCAGCGGCCUUUGCAGCGAUGCCAUUGGCCGAGCUCCCAGCAUCCUUUGCAGCCUCUGUGUUGGCCGAGCUCCCAGCAUCCUUUGCAGCGAUGCCAUUGGCCGAGCUCCCAGCAUCCUUUGCAGCCUCUGUGUUGGCCGAGCUCCCAGCAUCCUUUGCAGCCUCCAAGUUGGCCGAGCUCCCAGCAUCCUUUGCAGAGAUGCCAUUGGCCGAACUCCCAGAAUCCUUUGCAGCCUCUUGGACAGCCAACAUCCCAGCAUCCUUUGCAGCCUCCGCAUUGGCCGAGCUCCCAGCAUCCUUUGCAUCCUCUUGGACAGCCAAACUCCCAGCAUGCUUUGCAGCCUCUAGGUUGACCGAACUCCCAGAGUCCUUUGCAGCGAAGCUAUCAGCCAGAUUCCCAUCAUCCUUUGCAGCCCCUGAGUUGGUCGAGCUCCCAGCGUCCUUUGCAGCCCCUGAGUUGACUGAACUCCCAGCAUCCUUUGCAGCGAUGCUA
Molecule: long non-coding RNA, 620 nt
Filed under: Apteryx haastii (Great spotted kiwi)
Lineage: Eukaryota; Metazoa; Chordata; Aves; Apterygiformes; Apterygidae
Description: lncRNA (ENSAHAG00000016338.1)
Source: RNAcentral